Molecule: ribosomal RNA, 465 nt
Filed under: Vreelandella stevensii
Lineage: Bacteria; Pseudomonadati; Pseudomonadota; Gammaproteobacteria; Oceanospirillales; Halomonadaceae
Description: partial 16S ribosomal RNA
Rfam family: Bacterial small subunit ribosomal RNA
Source: RNAcentral
CCUACGGGUGGCUGCAGUGGGGAAUAUUGGACAAUGGGCGAAAGCCUGAUCCAGCCAUGCCGCGUGUGUGAAGAAGGCCUUCGGGUUGUAAAGCACUUUCAGUGGGGAAGAAAGCCUUGGGGCUAAUACCCUCGAGGAAGGACAUCACCCACAGAAGAAGCACCGGCUAACUCCGUGCCAGCAGCCGCGGUAAUACGGAGGGUGCGAGCGUUAAUCGGAAUUACUGGGCGUAAAGCGCGCGUAGGCGGUCUGAUAAGCCGGGUGUGAAAGCCCCGGGCUCAACCUGGGAACGGCAUCCGGAACUGUCAGGCUAGAGUGCAGGAGAGGAAGGUAGAAUUCCCGGUGUAGCGGUGAAAUGCGUAGAGAUCGGGAGGAAUACCAGUGGCGAAGGCGGCCUUCUGGACUGACACUGACGCUGAGGUGCGAAAGCGUGGGUAGCAAACAGGAUUAGAUACCCGGGUAGUC